AAUCAACGCUGGCGGCGCGCUUAACACAUGCAAGUCGAACGAGAAAGCCCGCAAGGGUGAGUAAAGUGGCGUACGGGUGAGUAACACGUGGGUAAUCUGCCUUUUGGUGGGGAAUAACCCUGGGAAACCGGGGCUAAUACCGCAUAAGCUCGAAAGAGGAAAAGAGAAAUCUGCCGAAAGAGGAGCCCGCGGCUGAUUAGCUAGUUGGUGAGGUAAAGGCUCACCAAGGCGAAGAUCGGUAGCCGGCCUGUGAGGGCACACGGCCACACUGGCACUGAAACACGGGCCAGACUCCUACGGGAGGCAGCAGUGGGAAUCUUGCACAAUGGGGGAAACCCUGAUGCAGCGACGCCGCGUGAGCGAUGAAGCCCUUCGGGGUGUAAGCUCUUUCGACCGGAACGAUAAUGACGGUACCGGGAGAAGAAGCUGCGGCUAACUACGUGCCAGCAGCCGCGGUAAUACGUAGGCAGCGAGCGUUGUUCGGAGUUACUGGGCGUAAAAGCGUGCGUAGGCGGUUUUGUAAGUUUGGUGUGAAAAUCUCCCGGCUCAACUGGGAGGGUGCGCCGAAAACUGCAAGGCUGGAGUGUGGGAGAGGUAGGCGGAAUUCCUGGUGUAGCGGUGAAAAUGCGUAGAUAUCAGGAGGAACACCUGUGGUGUAGACGGCUUACUGGACCAUGACUGACGCUGAGGCACGAAAGCGUGGGGAGCAAAACAGGAUUAGAUACCCUGGUAG
This 733-nucleotide ribosomal RNA is filed under the name uncultured bacterium. Its description in RNAcentral is "bacterial SSU rRNA". It matches the Rfam family "Bacterial small subunit ribosomal RNA", at positions 28 to 793 of the family's 1533-position model. The record is from RNAcentral.